UAUCCUGCGAUGCUGAGCUCAAUGGAGACAUCUACCGGCGGAUUUGUCACUCCAGCUGCUGACUGUACCAGUGACAUGAAGAGAAGGGGGAACCAAAUGAUGCUUAUCAGGGCAAAGAUGAUGAAUCCUCCCAUCCCAUAUUUAACCAGCUUCUUCUUCUUCUGCCCUGGAGGGUGGGGGUAUUUCUAGAAAAAAAUGAAACCAACAAAAUCCAAAAAAGGCAAAGAUCCCUCACAGUGUUGUCAAUGUUGUCAAGACAAGACUCCCUCCAGCACUUCAGGACAAAUAUAUUUGCAUAGAUGUCUUCAACACAAAUCCAACUUGAGAGAGACAGAGUGGUGUCUGUCCAAACCCAAUCCAUCACCGCCCUUAACUCUGUCAGGAAGGGAACCAUACGGAACCUUGAGGAGA
Long non-coding RNA from Notolabrus celidotus (New Zealand spotty), 411 nucleotides. RefSeq lists it as uncharacterized. The record is from RefSeq and is a predicted model, not a curated record. The transcript has 3 exons. NCBI's taxonomy places the organism in Eukaryota, Metazoa, Chordata, Actinopteri, Labriformes, Labridae.